Molecule: unclassified non-coding RNA, 581 nt
Filed under: Hevea brasiliensis (rubber tree)
Lineage: Eukaryota; Viridiplantae; Streptophyta; Magnoliopsida; Malpighiales; Euphorbiaceae
Source: RNAcentral
AGCAAAAAAAAAAAAAAAAAAUCCAUCAAGGCUAGAAGGAUCCUCUAUAAAGCACACAACACCCACACAUCUCUAUGUAGUCAAAAUAGGAAAAUGACUUCUGAGGCUCAACCAGGAUAAGGCAUUCUUCACAACUAUGAAGGGACUAGAUGUUAGCAAGGCAUUAGUUACGUAACCGAAUAAGCUUGAUCCUUCAAACCCUUAUGGCCAAAUCCUUCUCCCAAAGCACCAGAUGGCAUAAGAAAGAGAGCAAACAACAGCCAUCAAGCGCUAAAAUAAUGAGCUUUGAUAGUAGAUUAAGUAGAACAUAAAAACUGGGACAUGCAGAUCAAAACGAAAACCCUCUCCAUCAAUACUAGAUCAGUAAAAUGCGCCCCAUUUACAUCUCAACCCUGAAAGUAGGGAGGGAAACCCAUUCUCCAAGACUAGGGAAAGACCAUCCUUUGCUCGGAAGGGGCAGAGGACAGUCGCAGCUCAGUAGAUGGGAAGGACCUAGUCUCCCAAAAACAAAAGAAAUAAAAGAGAGAAAAACUCUCUAGAUACUAGGGAGAGGUAAUAACCAUAAUUUGCUUAUAUUUCAC